This 24-nucleotide non-coding RNA is filed under the name Arabidopsis thaliana (thale cress). The record is from RNAcentral. Lineage: Eukaryota; Viridiplantae; Streptophyta; Magnoliopsida; Brassicales; Brassicaceae.
AGGUAAAAGCCUGAGGCAAAAUAA